GGAGGCAGCAGUGAGGAAUAUUGGUCAAUGGGCGUAAGCCUGAACCAGCCAAGUCGCGUGAGGGAUGAAGGUUCUAUGGAUCGUAAACCUCUUUUAUAAGGGAAUAAAGUGUGGGACGUGUCCUAUUUUGUAUGUACCUUAUGAAUAAGGAUCGGCUAACUCCGUGCCAGCAGCCGCGGUAAUACGGAGGAUCCGAGCGUUAUCCGGAUUUAUUGGGUUUAAAGGGUGCGUAGGCGGCCUUUUAAGUCAGCGGUGAAAGUCUGUGGCUCAACCAUAGAAUUGCCGUUGAAACUGGGGGGCUUGAGUAUGUUUGAGGCAGGCGGAAUGCGUGGUGUAGCGGUGAAAUGCUUAGAUAUCACGCAGAACCCCGAUUGCGAAGGCAGCCUGCCAAGCCAUGACUGACGCUGAUGCACGAAAGCGUGGGGAUCAAACAGGAUUAGAUACCCUGGUAGUC
RNAcentral lists this ribosomal RNA (454 nucleotides) under uncultured bacterium. Its description in RNAcentral is "bacterial SSU rRNA". It matches the Rfam family "Bacterial small subunit ribosomal RNA", at positions 344 to 795 of the family's 1533-position model. The record is from RNAcentral.